Brassica napus (rape) is the source of this 2055-nucleotide long non-coding RNA. RefSeq lists it as uncharacterized. The transcript is spliced from 2 exons. NCBI's taxonomy places the organism in Eukaryota, Viridiplantae, Streptophyta, Magnoliopsida, Brassicales, Brassicaceae. The record is from RefSeq and is a predicted model, not a curated record.
GUGCGGGUCAAUCUCUAGUAUUAAUUAGAACUUAAUCAGAUAGAUUCAGGUAGUCCUACUUUUAUUUAUUGGGUCACGCAGUUAAAUAUCAUAUGGUUGCUUUGUAGGUCCUUCGAAAAUUUCAAAAUUUUACAAGAACAAUAAAUCCGAAAAUUCAGACAUUUUUGUCUUUGCUUCCUUUUCAAUAUUUUGUUUUGUAAAUAUCGAGAAUAUAUGUUAUAUAUAUAAUUUUGAAAAUCAAUUACGAGCAACUGAAUUUAUUUGGUGGAUUAAAGUAAUCUAACAAUAAACUUGGUAUGCAAUGGAGUUAUUUUAAACUUGAUAAUUAUACAUGGUCUUUCUCCAUAAUUGAUGUUCUGGACUAGCAACGUUAUUACAUAAUAACCAUAGCGUUGGAUGAUAAAAUUUUUUUUAGAGAAGUGUAACAUAUAGAGUAUGACUGUAUCUCAAUUUUAGGGAUAAUAAUUCAGCGAGAAACAUUUUCCUCUCAGUUCUGCUGAUAUGUUUACCAGUUAGGUGAAACAAAAAAAUUAAUUAUAUUUUUAUUCAUUUACGCUAGUUACUGUUUAAAUAAAGAUUAAGGUAACCUUUUUAUUCCGUCGUCGUUUUGAAAAGGGAAAUUUUCGUUGCCACUAACUUUUAUUUUUGUUUUAUUAUCUUGUUUUUUUUACCAUUUUUCACCAAUUUACUCUACUUUUUUCACUAAUUUACUCCAUUAUCAUUACUCCAGUUUAUAUUCCAGUUUAUACUCCAGUUUACACCAAUUUUUACCAGUCACUCCCUAGUAAAGGAGUCGUACUAUUUUAGCGGUAGAUAAACUUAUGGCUUAUAUUUUUUUAUCCCUCCUUGGCUUUGAUUUCUGUUGAUGAUUGUAUUCGCAUAAUUUUCUUUGCCUGAUACUGACAAUACGUCGCUUUCCUAAGAAAAUUUGAUCAAGACAAAGUAUGUUCCUUAAGAAAUCAAUAUGGAAACAAGCAUUUUGUGUACUGUACAUUGGAGAUAAGCUUCAAGAGUAGUCAUUAACGCGUCUAGACCAUGUCCACUCGAAAACACACAAAACUGGUGAUUUCUGUAAAAUACAAUUCAAAAUAAAUAUUAGGUACACGCUUGAAAAUGGCAUCUUCCGGUGAUGACUAGUGACUACAAAUAAUUCUUUGUUUUAUUAAUAGAUGUUAGUAAUAGGAACUUAGUUACAGUCUUUCUUUGACCCAAAAAAAAAAGUUACAGUCUUUCUAGUAUUGGAUUUAAUUUGUGAUUAAACUUCCCCUUAAAAGCGUGUUUUCAGAUGAGAAAAUAAAAUAAUUAAAUUUUAGUUAUUAAUGAAUAACAUCUUUAAAUUUUUUGACUGAACUAGGAUUAGGUUUAAUCAUAUUUUGUCCGGUUCUCUUGACUCUUGGGUAUAUAAUGGCCUGAGCUUCUGAGCCUGAUGAUAUUAAAAUGUGUUUUAAACCCCAUAUUCUAGAGUCUAUAAAUACCAAUCACUUUUCAAGUCCUGUAAGAUAAAAAAUAAGAGAGAUAAAUGACUAAGAUGCCAAUAUCAUCGAAGCUCUAUGUGGUUAUGCUUCUCUCAUUCUUGGCGCUUUUCAUAAUCGCCCAUGCUCAAACCUUUUCUCCAGAUGGGAAGUUCUUUCAAGAUUCCCCGGCCCAAGCCUACACCGGUCCUUCGUACGCUCCUGUUCCUCCGAGUUGCUUCAAUCCACCUGGCUGCGGUCCAACGGAUAAAAGGAAAAGAAGAUUUCGCCAUCAAAGUUCCAAUUUGGCCACAUGAAUCUUGAGAGUUAAAAGCUUGCUCGCUGAUGUUUGUGCCUGUGUUUGUGGUGCCUUCUCAUUUGGUUUAGGUUAUCUAUGUAUAAAUACAUAUAUGGAACGUUUAUGAGAUCUAUGUUAUAAUAUGGUGCGAUUUUACCCUGAGGUUGAGGGAAAUAAGAUUCGAAUUGUGCGAUUUCAAUUACUGGUAAGUUGGUAACCACUAUAGUUUGUUAUGUAAAAUGUAUAUUGUCAAAACAAAAAAUGUAUGUUGUCAAUUAUCAUAAUGAUAUUUAUGUUUACUGUUCA